This is a long non-coding RNA of Neopsephotus bourkii (Bourke's parrot), 696 nucleotides long. RefSeq lists it as uncharacterized. NCBI's taxonomy places the organism in Eukaryota, Metazoa, Chordata, Aves, Psittaciformes, Psittacidae. The transcript has 3 exons. The record is from RefSeq and is a predicted model, not a curated record.
UCGCUCAGACUAACACUCAGAGUUUGGUUCUUAGCUGAAUUAGAGAUUCUAUUUAUGUCUAACUUUUUUUCUUGGUGGCUUUUUCGUCUGUGUUCUAUUGCAAUGUCAUCUUUGAAGACAUUAUUGCUGGAAUUAAUUACUUCUCCGUAUACCAGAGCACUGGCAUCCUGAAUUUGUUACAUCAAAGGAUAUUGACUGAGAAGACAAAUAAUUAAAUGACCCGUAACACAGUUCAGAGUUAAAGAGGUACCAACUGCUGAGAUGCCUUUGUCUUCCCUAGAAUCAGGAUGUGACCAAUCACUUCUUAACUUGGUGAGAAGAGGGAACUGGGAUGCAGCUGGCUAUCAGAUGCUGUCUCCAAGCUCUUUGCAAGCUUCCUGCUCUGCACAGAGUAUCUUGCUUUUGCGGGUUCCUGAACCAGACGCAGAAUGUUGCCUAAAGUGUGGAUUUUUUCUGCUUCUUAUAAAAAAAAGAGGAAUAGUACCUCUUUCUGUAGGAGGCUUUGUCAAGGCAUAAACUGGAAAUGUGUUCCUGGAAUUGCUUACUAUCAAUAAAAAGCAUUUUAAACUUAGAUACAAGUUUUCAUAAUGAAUUGAUUUGUUUGGGAAAAGCAUUUUUGUGCUAGUACUGUAUACACAUCAGACCUUUGGGCUGACAAAUAAUGUCAAUAAAACAUGAUAUUAUCCUUCCAGCAAA